Molecule: long non-coding RNA, 1219 nt
Organism: Branchiostoma floridae (Florida lancelet)
Lineage: Eukaryota; Metazoa; Chordata; Leptocardii; Amphioxiformes; Branchiostomatidae
Exons: 2
Source: RefSeq, a predicted model, not a curated record
AAAAGCAUGUAUACCCUCAGAAAUGCUUCCCCGGUCCGAUCAAGUCCCACAGAUAUUAUGUUUUUCGUUCCUUUUCCCUCUGUGGGUGGAACAUCUGCUGUGAUGAAUGGACUCCAACACUUAGAACUACUCCCAUAGUUUCUAUACUAAGCUUAGCCUAAAUGGAGAACGUAUUUAGGAAAACACGAUACAAGCGUUUCAGCAAGGAGCUUAAAAAAUCCUUGGUUUCAGUGUGAUCAACAUUUGGAAUUUCCGCCAAAGAACCCUGCGGUGCUGCCAACCAGUGAGUCAGUGACGGUCCGGAAACUAGCCUGCCCAUUCUCCGCUGGUCGGCUUUGGGGUGCUUUACCUACAGGCUGCCUGUUUAUGAGAAAUGAAGAGACAACAAGUACAGAAGAGGUAGUACAAGGCUGGUGACUUUGCUGUUCUUACUGGGAUGGUGAACGACUGUGGCGACACGAGACCAGGUUUUGGCGCGGGUUAUGUCUGACCAGACAAUCCAGCCCGUCAGAACCUCCGCCUGGUGUGGUAUGCGCCAGACACUAAAACCAGCAUUUUGCAAGGGAAAAAAUUACAAGCCACAAGAUCAGCCGGCCGUUCAGGGAUUUAGUCACCAUUGUGACGUUAAGAGAGGACAUGAUAUGGUAACCUGAUGCGUGGGAGAAGACAAAAAAAGAAACCGCAGAAUUUAUUAUAAACUGUCACCUCACCAGAAUCCGUAGGACUGCUUCAUCGUUCCCGCCUGUGUACAACCAUAUCUACGUAUACUGUGGACGUGUUGGUGAUGUAACAUUAAGUAUACCCUUGCAAAAAACUUACAGUUAAACCUGCAGCUGUCCUGAAAUUGAAUAUAAUGAUGUUAUACCUUUAGUGGCCACUUUUUGAAUUAUGAAUCGUCAUGUUGUGAGCAAAUUGCUAUGGAAAUAUGCGUACGGCGUUUUUUUUUUGCCAUCACGGCAGCUUUUUCUUUCUUGUGAGGUCAAAGUGCAGGCCGUAGGUUGUAUAUUUUAGAGAGAAUGGAUUGCACCGGACUUUAGUAAAUCCGUUUGGUAUCACUAAGCUUUGUUAUCUCUACAUGAAGUCUGUAUUAAAUAAGGAUUGGCAUAAAAUGCAAUGCGUUUUCACUUUGAGUGAUGCUGAAUCAUUUCACUUACUAGCAAUACAUCAAGGUUAGGUUUAUAUAUUAACUCUAUAACCACUCCCUAUCUCGAGCCAAGUG